This is an RNA transcript of Anarrhichthys ocellatus (wolf-eel), 2611 nucleotides long. It is a transcript of the gene named TAFA chemokine like family member 1b, with no coding region annotated. The record is from RefSeq and is a predicted model, not a curated record. NCBI's taxonomy places the organism in Eukaryota, Metazoa, Chordata, Actinopteri, Perciformes, Anarhichadidae. The transcript has 6 exons.
CACUCACACACUCGCUCUGCCUCCCUGACACAGACUCUCUACUUAGUGCGUUGGAGAGAGGACUGAGGCUCACACUAUCAGCACAGCUUCUCAAUGGGGGGAGGCAGCCAAGAGCGGACAGAGCAGUCAUUCCACUGGAGCCUUCCGCUGCCCGUGUGAGAAGGAGCUGACAAGUGAAAGGAGGUAAAUUAGCCCCCUGUCAUCACAACAAAAGGAGUUUCUACAGACGCAGAAGAGACACGGACUGGAGGAAGGAGAGGACAGGAGAUUUUGCGCGCAUUUGGCCGAUACAGCAGUGACAUGAUCAGCCUCCCAUCACCUCAAAUCCUGGGCAGUUUGUGACACAGACCCCCGGGUGUUUUGCUGUUGGUGACUGUGUUGCCAAGGAUUUCAAAAGGAACUGAGCAGCGUGGGGUCCACAGGAGAGAAUACUGAGAGAGAGAAAGGGGGGGAGUGGGUUGGAGAAACAGAAUAUUUGCCCCUUUUGCGCCGCUGUUCCACUUCUCUGGUGCUGGAAUUUCAGGAGGGAAUCCCUGGCUUCACAAUAUGGAUGGAUUUAAGACAGAGGAGUGAGUCUGCUGGGCAGGCAGGCAGUGAUUCUGACUGAGCUCCUUUCCUUCUGAACACACUGCUCAGACUCGGCCUUACCAUGUCCUGGUUGUUGGCCAUGUGGAUUAGCCUCGGCUUGCUGCUGUUGUGCCAGGCCACACUCUACCAGACCAUCCAGCAGCACCAUGUGGCCCGGCCCGGUCGCACCGACAUUCUCACCCUGGAGGGAGGUACAUGUGAGGUGAUCGCCGCCCACCGAUGCUGUAACAAGAAUCGCAUUGAGGAGCGCUCUCAGACAGUCAAGUGCUCCUGUUUACCGGGGAAAGUGGCCGGGACGACACGGAACAAACCCUCCUGUGUGGAUGCGUCCAUUGUGAUUGGGAAAUGGUGGUGUGAGAUGGAGCCAUGUCUGGAGGGAGAAGAGUGUAAGACUCUGCCCGACAACUCUGGAUGGAUGUGCUCCACUGGGAACAAAAUCAAGACCACAAGAAAUACCCAGCCAUACUCCCCUUUUUAGCUUCCGGAAGCAAAAUGCAGAGGAUGGGUCAACAGAAAUUGAGCUGCAUUCUUGCUUCUGUAAAGAGAGGGAGCCCUUCAUUGCCUGUUCUGUAGCAGCAGACAAGGCAGGCCCUUUUGUUUGUGGAAGUCACAGUGAGAGCGAGACUGGGGGAGCAACCUUCCAAAAAAAAAAAAAAACACUCGCCCACCAUAGAUCUGCAUUACCCGCUCCGCUCGCUAAAUAGAUCAAACCACUCCUGCUCCCUCCAAACAAUUACACUCCUUAAGAGAGACAGGCAGAACGAGUGGGCUGGGAAUGAAAGCAUCGUUUUUCCCCUGCUUUUGAUGACAGUGAGAAGAAUAUUGUCCAUGUGAUAACCUCACUGUUAAGUGUGCUCGAGUGAAUUUGAAUUUGUCAUCAAGGCGGGGAUGUCGUAACACAGCCCACAUCAGACGUUCAAUGUGGCUUUUCUUUAGCUUUUUCACACUGCAACAUAACUCAUGUACAGUAGUUGUUUUAAGCAUUUCUACUAUGGAAUAUGUAAUUGUUCAGAUUAGUGAGUGCAAAGCGUUGGACUCAAGUGGAUACUUCCACGCUUCACAGUGGGUCCCAUUCAACUUGUCCAACAUCAUUUACUUGCUGUUCAGAGACCCACGUGUCCCCCAUAAAAAAGGAGUGCAGGGCACUUUUUUAAGCAGAAUAGCACACUGACAGGAUGUAGCCCAUCUGUGAGACAGUUUCAGAGCAUAAGUGACCCACCAGCAGACGCAUCGCCAUCUAAUUUGUCAAAAUCGGGAGACGACACUCUGCAGUUGAUCAAAAUGAACUCCAAGCAGCCGUGCCACACACCGUUCAACUUCACAGAGAAAUCAUCUGCUCCAUCACUGUGCUUGACAACACCUCUCCUCCUCCUGCAGUCCUGUACAAUGUCAUCGCCAUGAUAAAGCACACACAAAUGGUCGACAGCAGUGCGUCUGGAUACUUUUUUUUGAAGUCGGAGCUCCCGGGAAUGGCCAGAUUGACCUACUUUUGACUUGUUGUACAGGUUUAGGGGGAGAAGGAGUGCUACUCAUUAAUCUAUCGCUAUUUCUUUCUCAUUGUCAAUGUCACAUUAAAUGGAUCUUGAUGUAUUUUGUUGUCUUGAGUCUUCUGUUUUUUUAGAGGGUGCUCUUUAGUGCUGUUUUAAGAAGGGUUUCUUAGCUGGCAUGAUUGAUUUGUUCAGCACCAAACAAGAAAGGGGGAAAGGGGAGACCAUGUUUGCACUAAAUUAUUUUGCUACGGCAGUUGUCCUUGGCUCCUUUUACUAACUGAAGUCUGAGUAAAUUGCAAUUUAAUGCGGCCGGAAAUUAGAAUGCAGCCGGCUUAGUUGCCAGCAAAGACGGGAUCGGCAGCAAAUCUUUGAGCAAUCCGCCGCUACCUGCUGCACUGUUCAUUUUGAAGAGACAGAGGACAAAAAAGAGGGCACUUAAUGUCUCACACACACACACACACACACACACACACACACACACACACACACACACGUGGGUUGAAAUGACAGCAUUUGCAUACAACCCCUCUUCU